UUUACGUCAGUGUCAACAUCCGGUUGUUGAUCGUGUGACUCGAGUGACACGAACACUUUGUACCAUAACGAGUUUUUUGUUUUUCCAAAAUCGCCAAUUUUAUUUUCAGAACGUGAAAUUCCGUAGUUAUAUGUUUAUUCUGCCUUUUACUUGUUAAACAGGAUCACGUUCUUGUAAACCACAUUAGGACUCCCCCUGGUGGAUGUUUUGUUACACUGUUUGAUUACGCUGAAAAAAAGAAAACAGAGAUCCAAGAUGGCGGAACGUAAUACCGAAGAGUUCCUGAAUUAAACCGACAUCACGUUGAAACGUUGUUGUUUUGGACGAGAUUUGUUCGGCGUUCUCUGAGGACAAGGAGGAUCUGCUGCGGCUCUGGAUCCUGCUGGUCAUCGUCUCUGGAGAACAGCUCAGCAGAACCACGGCACUCGGUUCCCCCAUCUGAUCCCACAGAGGAGAAAACGUCUCAGUGGAUCCAUGUGGGGUCAGUGUUGGUGCGCUGCCUUGCCUUGGCUUCGUACUCCUCCGCCUGCUUCAGGUCUCUGGGGAAGCCGCUCACCACCAGACCCUUUCCCUGUCGGACCGCAGACGUCACGGCGUCACACAGCAGCUCCAGCAGCGUCUCCUAGAGAUUCAACACAAAUAAUUCAUCAUGUCAUGAAUUGAAG
Molecule: long non-coding RNA, 665 nt
Organism: Gambusia affinis (western mosquitofish)
Lineage: Eukaryota; Metazoa; Chordata; Actinopteri; Cyprinodontiformes; Poeciliidae
Exons: 3
Source: RefSeq, a predicted model, not a curated record